GCCAGGUGUGGUGGGGCGCACCUGUAAUCCCAGCUACUCAGGAGGCUGAGGCAGAAGAAUCACUUGAACCCAGGAGAUGGAGGUUGCAGUGAGCCGAGAUCACGUCACUGCACUCUAGCCUGGGCAAUAGAGUGAGACUCUGUCUCCA
This is an unclassified non-coding RNA of Macaca fascicularis (crab-eating macaque), 148 nucleotides long. It matches the Rfam family "Metazoan signal recognition particle RNA". Rfam says of the family: The signal recognition particle (SRP) is a universally conserved ribonucleoprotein. It is involved in the co-translational targeting of proteins to membranes. The eukaryotic SRP consists of a 300-nucleotide 7S RNA and six proteins: SRPs 72, 68, 54, 19, 14, and 9. NCBI's taxonomy places the organism in Eukaryota, Metazoa, Chordata, Mammalia, Primates, Cercopithecidae. The record is from Ensembl.